Molecule: long non-coding RNA, 1930 nt
Filed under: Equus caballus (horse)
Lineage: Eukaryota; Metazoa; Chordata; Mammalia; Perissodactyla; Equidae
Description: lncRNA (ENSECAG00000050329.1)
Source: RNAcentral
AUAUUUUUUGUAAAUAUUACCAGAUAGUUAUAUAAAAUACACAGUUACUAAGAGUGUCCUUCACUGUUUUCUAAAGAACGUUUUGGAGUUAUUUACUAUAGAAAAGUAUGGAGGAAAAACCAAAAAUGUUCCAUAGCCGCCGUUGAAAUUUACAAUAGAGAAUUGAAAUAUCUUUUGGAUCAAUGCUCCAGCCAUGGGCAGAGCAGGCUGCUGCCUCACUCUACUGCUCCAGCCUUUAAGGAAGUGACUCCCUGGAAGUUCCCUUGCUGGCAGUGCCAGGAAACUGAGGUCUGUAGGUCAGAAGUUCAACACCAGUCUCACUGGGCUAAAAUCAAGUUUCUUUCAGUGGCCUUUACCUCUUGGUGUCUCAGUUCACAUCGUGAUUUUCAUUGCUCGUGGCGGAUCCGCACCAAAGCUGAGAGAAUCCAGUCUGCCUGCUGCUUUGUUAGGAAUCUGUGAUGUCACCAAUGGAGACAGGAGAGGAGAUACCACAGCAUUUGAAGCAAGUGGGAAGCAACCUACAAAGAUCAGGACUUCCAGAAGCCCAUGGAAAGGCUGAGAUGCCAGUCAAUGAGGAAUGUUCUAUCCUGGGAGGCAGACCCUUAUGACAUCAGACCAACAUCUGUUAUUCUACUGUCAAUAUUUGAGAAAAUUAAGUGGACAACUGCAUAAUUUUUCCCCUGCUCUGAGUGCUCUGGGACCCACCCGAUCAUCAUUCAGGGGCCUACACAACAGGGACUCAUGACUCCUUCAAAAGAGCAUUUCUCUUCUUUAAAACCUCCAUCCAGUCUUCUUCCUGAACAGAUAAUAACUCAAGGAGAAAGACUUGGGGCAUCACAGCUCUCUCAGUAACAACCGUAGUCAUGCCAGUAAAGCUUCCAUCACAAACACAUAGGAUAUGUUGUGGUAUCCAAGGAAAUUCUGAACUAUUUAUGAGAAGGCCAAGAAAUACAGGUGGCUCACAUUUCCCUUAAACUUGGUUCGAUGCAAAGAAAAGAAUGUCCAGCCUUCUACAAUCUAGAAGCUACUUGAACAAUAUUUGUACCAAUGCCUUUCUCAAAAUCUUCCUAACAAUGUCUAAAACCAGGUUCUGUUCUUUUUAUUAGACAACUUGCUCAAUAAAGCCAGGUGAAUCUAUAGACUUCUGCACAUAACGGUCUGGGAGCUGGGUGCUGCAGAUUAGAAAAGCAAAAGACUGUCUUAAGAAAUGCUUUGGAUCACAUCCUUGGACUUCUUCAAAUAUUUUUGAGAACCAUAUUAAAGCUUGACUUGCCUGUUUGUGCUGUGCUUCUGUAAAUGUGACACUGCUUGGGGACUGGACCUCAUGGGCGUAGCUUUAUAAAUACUGUGUCAGCUCCAAACUCUAACUUCUACAGCACUUUGUCAGUUUCUCUGUUACAACCUCAGCUGCCAUUCACUAAAAAGCUAAUAUACAUACACAACACUCAAGACAUUCUUGGGUGUCCAGGCUUUUCCCCACCUCACUGAACACUCUUCAUAUGUCUCGUUCCCUUUAAUUAAGUGCAAUUCCCUUCAUUCUCUUUGCUCACUCAUAACUCCUACAAACGGCCUCACAUGUCUGAAAUAAUUCCCAUUCUGCUACCCUCCUCCACCUUCCUCACCUUUAAAUGCUCCAUGUAUUUGGAUAGUCUGAAAAAUCUCAAAAUUUCUGAAGUCUCCUAAGCGGAGUUUUAUAUCCAGAUCUAUUAGUUUGGUACUCUCAAACAUACAUAUUUUCAUCCUAUCGCAUACUUUUUCUAACUGUGUAAAAUUGAUCUUAGCAGCAUCUAAAUCUGGCAAUGGCAGACUAUCCAUUAUUGAUGCUAAAUAAAUCUUCAUUCAUGAUAGUGGAAGCUAACAAGGCUGUUAUCUGAGAUAAGGCUGUGCAAUUCACCAGCAAUGGCACCUGAGCAACAUGUCACUAAGCUCC